Molecule: transfer RNA, 73 nt
Organism: Camelus ferus (Wild Bactrian camel)
Lineage: Eukaryota; Metazoa; Chordata; Mammalia; Artiodactyla; Camelidae
Rfam family: tRNA
About the family: Transfer RNA (tRNA) molecules are approximately 80 nucleotides in length. Their secondary structure includes four short double-helical elements and three loops (D, anti-codon, and T loops). Further hydrogen bonds mediate the characteristic L-shaped molecular structure. tRNAs have two regions of fundamental functional importance: the anti-codon, which is responsible for specific mRNA codon recognition, and the 3' end, to which the tRNAs corresponding amino acid is attached (by aminoacyl-tRNA synthetases). tRNAs cope with the degeneracy of the genetic code in two manners: having more than one tRNA (with a specific anti-codon) for a particular amino acid; and 'wobble' base-pairing, i.e. permitting non-standard base-pairing at the 3rd anti-codon position.
Source: Rfam
GAGGGUAUAGCUCAAGUGGUAGAGCGCAUGGUUAGCAUGCAUGAGGUCCUGGGUUCAAUCCCCAGUACCUCCU